AAGUCGUAACAAGGUUUCUGUAGGUGAACCUGCAGAAGGAUCAUUAGUGAAGAUUCAAGGGCCAGCCAUACAGACGUACAAUAAGUGUGUCUCUGGCGGCUCGCAUCCACUAUACAUCCAUAAACCCCGUGUGCACUGUUCUAAGGAGUAAGAAAGAAGAAGAGAGAGUGCAUGUGCUUUGCAUAUAACUCUCUCACUCUCUUUCUCUCUCCGGUUAAUUACAAAACUCGUAUGGAUUUGUAUGAACGUGAGAUAUAUCGUUGGAUCCGUCACUGGCCAACAAAUUAUAAUCA
RNAcentral lists this unclassified non-coding RNA (293 nucleotides) under plant metagenome. RNAcentral describes it as "partial contains small subunit ribosomal RNA and internal transcribed spacer 1". The stretch from base 1 to 46 matches the Rfam family "Eukaryotic small subunit ribosomal RNA", at positions 1786 to 1831 of the family's 1831-position model. The record is from RNAcentral.